UACGUAGGGGGCUAGCGUUAUCCGGAAUUACUGGGCGUAAAGGGUGCGUAGGUGGUUUCUUAAGUCAGAGGUGAAAGGCUACGGCUCAACCGUAGUAAGCCUUUGAAACUGGGAAACUUGAGUGCAGGAGAGGAGAGUGGAAUUCCUAGUGUAGCGGUGAAAUGCGUAGAUAUUAGGAGGAACACCAGUAGCGAAGGCGGCUCUCUGGACUGUAACUGACGCUGAGGCACGAAAGCGUGGGGAGCAAACAGGAUUAGAUACCCGUGUAGUCCCUGAGCGGG
Molecule: ribosomal RNA, 281 nt
Filed under: uncultured prokaryote
Description: partial 16S ribosomal RNA
Rfam family: Bacterial small subunit ribosomal RNA
Source: RNAcentral